RNAcentral lists this ribosomal RNA (169 nucleotides) under Pseudalutarius nasicornis (rhino leatherjacket). RNAcentral's name for it is "partial 12S rRNA". Lineage: Eukaryota; Metazoa; Chordata; Actinopteri; Tetraodontiformes; Monacanthidae. The record is from RNAcentral.
CACCGCGGUUAUACGAGAGGCCCGAGCUGACAGACGCCGGCGUAAAGCGUGGCUAGGAACUCCGCCCCCAUAAAGCCGAAUGGCCCCAAGACUGUUAAAUGUUUACGGGAGCCAGAAGAACAAAAACGAAAGUGGCUUUACAACUUCUGACCCCACGAAAGCUAAGGCA